AGCAGCCGCGGUAAUUCCAGCUCCAAUAGCGUAUAUUAAAGUUGUUGCAGUUAAAAAGCUCGUAGUUGAAUUUCGGGAUCAAUGCGUCGGUCGUGCUUUCGGGUACGUACUGGUGUCAUUGGUUUCUCCUUUCUGACGAGCCGUGAUGUCAUUAAUUUGGUGUUACGGGUAGUUAGGACUGUUACUUUGAAAAAAUUAGAGUGUUUAAAGCAGGCAUUAGCUUGAAUACAUUAGCAUGGAAUAAUGAAAUAGGACGUUCGAUCCUAUUUUGUUGGUUUCUAGGAUCAACGUAAUGAUUAAUAGGGAUAGUCGGGGGCAUUAGUAUUCAAUUGUCAGAGGUGAAAUUCUUGGAUUUAUUGAAGACUAACUACUGCGAAAGCAUUUGCCAAGGAUGUUUUCAUUAAUCAAGAACGAAAGUUAGGGGAUCGAAGACGAUCAGAUACCGUCGUAGUCUUAACCAUAAACUAUGCCGACUAGGGAUCGGAUGAUGUUAAUUUUUAAUGACUCAUUCGGCGCCUUA
This 520-nucleotide ribosomal RNA is filed under the name uncultured Glomus. Its description in RNAcentral is "SSU rRNA". It matches the Rfam family "Eukaryotic small subunit ribosomal RNA", at positions 569 to 1090 of the family's 1831-position model. The record is from RNAcentral. Lineage: Eukaryota; Fungi; Glomeromycota; Glomeromycetes; Glomerales; Glomeraceae.